CCUUUACAAUGAACGAAAGUUUGAUAAGGGGACUCCGAGUGCUCUUAGGAAACUAAGGGCUUUUGUUAAGUGUAGAUAGCUUGAUGAAUAAGGACUGGGUAAGACCCGUGCCAGCCGCCGCGGUAAUACGGGCAGUUCUAGUGGUAUCCACGUAUAUUGGGCUUAAAGCGUCCGUAGCUGGUCCAGAAAGUUUCUAGUGAAAGCUCGCAGCUUAACUGAUGAGAGGUGCUAGAAAACUUUUGGACUUGGAGCGGGAGAGGUAAGAGGUACUUUUGGGGUAGCGGUUAAAUGUGUUAAUCCUGAAGGGACCACCGGUAGCGAAGGCGUCUUACUAGAACGC
This 340-nucleotide ribosomal RNA is filed under the name uncultured Methanobrevibacter sp. RNAcentral describes it as "bacterial SSU rRNA". It matches the Rfam family "Archaeal small subunit ribosomal RNA", at positions 347 to 688 of the family's 1478-position model. The record is from RNAcentral. Lineage: Archaea; Methanobacteriati; Methanobacteriota; Methanobacteria; Methanobacteriales; Methanobacteriaceae.